This 477-nucleotide ribosomal RNA is filed under the name uncultured organism. RNAcentral describes it as "partial 16S ribosomal RNA". It matches the Rfam family "Bacterial small subunit ribosomal RNA", at positions 331 to 799 of the family's 1533-position model. The record is from RNAcentral.
GUACACUCCUGCGGGAGGCAGCAGUGGGGAAUUUUGGACAAUGGGCGAAAGCCUGAUCCAGCAAUGCCGCGUGUGUGAAGAAGGCCUUCGGGUUGUAAAGCACUUUUGUCCGGAAAGAAAUCCUUGGCUCUAAUACAGUCGGGGGAUGACGGUACCGGAAGAAUAAGCACCGGCUAACUACGUGCCAGCAGCCGCGGUAAUACGUAGGGUGCGAGCGUUAAUCGGAAUUACUGGGCGUAAAGCGUGCGCAGGCGGUUUGCUAAGACCGAUGUGAAAUCCCCGGGCUCAACCUGGGAACUGCAUUGGUGACUGGCAGGCUAGAGUAUGGCAGAGGGGGGUAGAAUUCCACGUGUAGCAGUGAAAUGCGUAGAGAUGUGGAGGAAUACCGAUGGCGAAGGCAGCCCCCUGGGCCAAUACUGACGCUCAUGCACGAAAGCGUGGGGAGCAAACAGGAUUAGAUACCCCAGUAGUCCCAUG